Molecule: ribosomal RNA, 253 nt
Filed under: uncultured bacterium
Lineage: Bacteria
Description: partial 16S ribosomal RNA
Rfam family: Bacterial small subunit ribosomal RNA
Source: RNAcentral
UACGUAGGGUGCAAGCGUUGUCCGGAAUUAUUGGGCGUAAAGAGCUCGUAGGCGGUCUGUCACGUCGGCUGUGAAAACCCGAGGCUCAACCUCGGGCCUGCAGUCGAUACGGGCAAACUAGAGUACUGCAGGGGAGACUGGAAUUCCUGGUGUAGCGGUGAAAUGCGCAGAUAUCGGGAGGAACACCAGUGGCGAAGGCGGUUGCCUGGAGCUUUGCUGACGCUGAUGCGCGAAAGCGUGGGGAGCGAUCCGG